UGGACCCGCGUCGCCUCCAGCACCUCUGGCUCAUCUCUUAGCAGCUAACACCUGUGUAGCCACCAGCUAACGACGAGGGAGACGUGAGAGAUGAGCGGCAGCAGGCAAGAUUUACAGCUGUUUUCUCUGAUUGUAACUCCACUCAUGGCUGCCCCAGCAAGAGAACAUCAGAUGUCUUCCCAUCUCUCUUCCGCUAUCUCUCACUUGGCGCAUCUGUCCCCUUCGUCCCGGCAUCACCUUCCCUCCGCGAGCCAGCCGUCGGCGAAGAGGCACUGCAUCCAAACUGACGGGCAUUUAGAGACGAACAGAUUGGGAAGAAGAGGCGGAAAAUGUGGGGUGAGAUCUUGAGAAACACGGUGAUGAGUGAAAGAGUAACAAAAAACAGGUUGAGGGUGAGACUUGGUGGGGAGAUAGAGGAGGACAGAGGAAUAGAAACACACACACACACACACACACACACACACACACACACACACACACACACACACUCAGCGAGGAUGCCAGCAGCCUGUGAACGUGUGAAAGUCACAUCUGAGUGAUGGCCCAGCAGAUGCAAAGAGCAGCCUCAUCAAAAAACAAAGACAAAGAAGGAUCACGAACAAACCAUCUCUAUGGUGAACGAUGUUCUUUUCAUUUCUUCCCUCACUCUUCAAGUGGCCGACAAUGCGGCGACAGUGGCCUGGAUGCGUCUUCAAAUCUCAACGAUGCAUUAGCCCUCCGUCAAACCGAGACAAUUGGCCAAUGGAUGAGACAAUUUGUUGGAGAAGAUGGAGACAGAUAAGGAAGGAAAACACAGAAAAUCAUAGCCUUUGUGUGACAGCAUCAGCUGCUUUCAUUCUGCCCCCGUCGAUACAUCGCAGACGUCUAACACUGAGGUUACUGCAUGAAACCUGACGUGGCCCUGCCUGACUUUAGCGCUAUUAUUAUCAAAAACAACAGCGAUUGCAUAUCAGCCGUGUUCUCCUGGAAAGUAUCAAGGUGACCCCCAAAGCAUGAGUGAAGUUUAGGAAUGGUGUCAGUGAAAUCAGCAGCAAGAAUCCCACGUCUUCGGAGGAAAACUGGUUUCACGUUUUAUUCAUUCAACAACAAAGCAAAGAGGCCGAUAAAGGUGUGGUCUUGUUUUUAUCAUUACUUUAUCAUUAACUUCUAUACAAAUAAUACAAAGAUGUUCAUACACUUUCAAAUGGUUUAAAUAAUGUUGGUUGUUCUAACUGCUGCGGUGCAGCAUAUUAAACGGCCUCUUAACCCGAGCGUGCAUGUGGACAAAGGUGCAUUCGAGGAGCAGAAGAAAUAAAGUUUACCGGUGCUUUGAAGAGCUGAUGUUGAGCCUGGAGCAGAUGAGUCCGUGCUCAUCCUCUGCUCUGCUCAUCAGCUUCCUCUCUCCUUCUCCUUCUGGAUCACUCGCUCAGCUGUGUGACAGAUAACUCACGUAUUAUUAUCCAGUGACCUUGUGUCAACCCUGCUUAAUGAAAAUUUAUAUACGGUCCACCAUGUGAAUGAGGAGGCCUCACACACAUGCAAAUACGCACACCCGCACACAGCCGGUUCUGUAAUUCUGUGAAAGAGGAUGCUUCCCACUCAUGAAGCCAAGCAUGUCAAAUGGCAGAACGGCCUAUAGGAGCCAACGAGGGGAGGUCAGCGCGCCUGUGCUUCACCUCGGAGGACGGUAGAAGGGCGUCCUGCUAGCUUCUGAACUCAUCCUGUCACAAAGAGUGAGCGGCUGUAAACCGGCAGACAGGAGGAGUUAACAUUAACAUGCACAGUGUGGGUGGAAAUAUGCAAAGACAUCACGAGGAAAUGAAAUUAGCAGCAUCGUAUUGUUCCCUUAAAAUAAAUAAAAUGCAAUAUGCAAACUCUUCUUAGUUCAAAUUUUCACAAAUCUUUUCAUCAAUCUUUUCAAUCAUUUAGAUUUUCACAUGUUGCCAAUUAGACAGUUGCAGUUCGACGCCGGCCAGAUGCUGUUGAACACAGAGUGAUGGUUUUCAGCGUGGGCCACUGGUGCCUGUGUGUUUAUACAGCGCUGCUGGCCACGAAAGAUGCAUGAAGAAAUAAAAGAUUUUUAUGAGGGGACGUGGUUGGAGAACUGUCCUUGUGUCUGAUGUACGAGUCCGUUCCGUAUUACACCGACCUGUUGCUGUUGUACUGAAGGCAAAUUAGCAUUUAAAUGAGGCCAGUCCUUCCCCCUUUAAAUAACGAACGCAGUGGUUUUGAUUGAGAUGCGAGGAGGGCGACCGGUGGCUGCUUAGUCUUAUUGACCCAGAAAAGGCUGGGCCAACACACCCGCGUGAUUUUUCCCAACCACAGACCUGCGUCCAACACACAGAGUUGCACCCGCUCACGGCCGAGAGCCGCUGCUUGGGGGCCUUACAAGCGCAACCUCGGCUCGGCUGAUACAAGCUGUCUCGCCUAAAGGACUGCUCCAGUGAUUCUCUGCCUUAUCUCUGGAGUGUUCUUGUUACACAGAGAUUCUUUAAUACACCUGUACACUUGGCAGGACUUUCUGUAUUUUUGCAGGAAGCCUCCGUUCACCCCCCUAAAUCCUGGACAGAACGAUCCAGCCCUGAGCCAAAAAGUAGUGAGGAAGCACCUCUGUCCUCGCUUCAGCUGCUAUUUGGUGGCGAAGGAAACGAAGCCCACAUUAAAGGGAAUAAAUGAUUUUUAAAUGUAGUUUAGAGCGUUUGAACGGAGGUAUGUUUACCACCGCGUUGCAUCAUCUCUCGUGCUGUGUGUGUGCGUGUGUGUGUGUGUGUGUGUGUGUGUGUGACACCACGCUGCACAUGCAGGAUGAGCGCUGACCUGCUCACGCGUCCACGGGGCACACGCGUGUCUCCCAGCACCUCCUAAUGCACCAAUAAGUGAAAACAGUUUGGCCAAGUGCUGCUGAGCCCGCGUGGCCAUAGUCUUCAUGGCCGCGUGGCGCCUUCGGUCCAACCACUGACUUUUACCAGUACUGCAGAUGGUAAAAGACCCAAAUUCUUUGCUAUAUUGUGUCGGGAAAUAUUCUUUUUAAACUGACUGCCACUCACGAAACGCUCCCCUGUUAACAAUUAACCUGCUUCAACAAUUUAGGAGCCGUACAAAGCGGUGUUGUGCAUGAAUAUUUUAGAUGCCACCUCGUGAUUGGUACAGGGUACCAGUCAAACGCCCUGUGUGGCUGACGCGGUGGAUUUUUAAUAUUCCAACGCACAUUCACAAACUCUUGGUCGGGCUGCGAUGCCAUGAGGUGCAAAUUGAGCUAAAUAAUUAAAUAAGGUGCCCCCUGAACCUCCCACAUUCACAGGGUCAGCGCUCCCCUGCUGGUGUGACUAACCUGCUCCACCGGCGGAGCUUUAAUCAAGGCUGAGCAGACGUCGGGCACAUAUGGAGCCUCUAGUUAAGUGACACAUACAUGGACCAGUUUAGAACUUGGCAGCUGCAGCUUUCAUGUCCGCGGCGCCUUCAACUUUGUAGUUAAUUUCUGUUUUCUGUAUGUGCCACUGUAUGUUACUGACAUACCCAGUGAUCUUUUAGCUGCAGUCACUUUAAAUGCACUCCUUCUGCUCCAAGUUUAGUCGUAUUAAGUGGAGCUUUAUUCUCUGGAAGCAGCAGCGGAGUGUUAGAGGAUGUUAUCAAGUACAGGAGCUGAUCAUUGUGUGGACCUAAUCAUAAGUAGCGAGAUGUGUUUCUGUUCACUCUGGAUAUAAAGAGCAGAUCUGUGCGUCUCUCCCACUUGCAAAGCUGAAGGUGCUGGUUAAUUCCCAGAGACUGCCAAUUGAAAAUGUGUGAACAGGGACACAUUCUAUCUGUCUGGGAGGUCAUUUAGACUCAGAGUGCUGAGUAGCCUUCUGCCUGCCCCUGACUGGAAGGCUGUCUUUUUCCUCUCUCCUGAUCUCUUUGUUCGGUGCCCCUGACGGAGAAACUCCAUAAGGGGUGAUGGAUGUUGAUGGAGACACACAUAGCGGUGAUUAUGGAUCAGAAGGACAAAGACAGACAGACAGAACGUGCGAAAGAGAGGGAGGAUUGUGGAUUCAGAAUGGCUAACGACAGAAGCAGGUUUUGCUUUUCUUUUUUUACUUUCUGGUACGUGGAGCUGUUGCGCCGCUGAGUGGUGAAAUGUCAAACUACGGCCACGCAGUGGUUUCACACUUCUCAGACUCAUGCAUGCAUUAUUGAAUUGCAUUAUUAAUGCAUUCAUGCUGAUUAUUAUGAAUGCAAUUUGUGCUGACUUUUGCUGUUUUGCAGUCAAUCAUGUGUUUUGGUAUCUGGACUCCUAAUGUGUCAUGAAUUACAGCUGUCCAACAAAUGCAGCAUUGAAAAGUACCGACGUUGCAGAAAAAGUACCGAGGCAACUGUCUGAGUAAUGUAUUUAAAUUCCACAUUUGUAUUAAUGAAAGUAAAUUAAAGGAAA
This is a long non-coding RNA of Betta splendens (Siamese fighting fish), 4387 nucleotides long. RefSeq lists it as uncharacterized. The record is from RefSeq and is a predicted model, not a curated record. The transcript is spliced from 4 exons. NCBI's taxonomy places the organism in Eukaryota, Metazoa, Chordata, Actinopteri, Anabantiformes, Osphronemidae.